RNAcentral lists this transfer RNA (70 nucleotides) under Anguilla anguilla (European eel). It matches the Rfam family "tRNA". Rfam says of the family: Transfer RNA (tRNA) molecules are approximately 80 nucleotides in length. Their secondary structure includes four short double-helical elements and three loops (D, anti-codon, and T loops). Lineage: Eukaryota; Metazoa; Chordata; Actinopteri; Anguilliformes; Anguillidae. RNAcentral also lists the same sequence under 1 other name. The record is from Rfam by way of RNAcentral.
GGCUCGUUGGUCUAGGGGUAUGAUUCUCGCUUUGGGUGCGAGAGGUCCCGGUUCAAAUCCCGACGAGCCC